AUUGAACGCUGGCGGCAGGCUUAACACAUGCAAGUCGAACGGAACCUUCGGGUUUAGUGGCGAACGGGUGAGUAACACCUAGGAAUCUGCCUAUUAGUGGGGGAUAACGUAGCGAAAGUUACGCUAAUACCGCAUAUUCUGUGAGCAGGAAAGCAGGGGAUCGCAAGACCUUGCGCUGACUGAGCGGCCGAUAUCAGAUUAGCUAGUUGGUGAGGUAAAGGCUCACCAAGGCGACGAUCUGUAGCGGGUCUGAGAGGAUGAUCCGCCACACUGGAACUGAGACACGGUCCAGACUCCUACGGGAGGCAGCAGUGGGGAAUUUUGGACAAUGGGCGCAAGCCUGAUCCAGCCAUGCCGCGUGAGUGAAGAAGGCCUCGGUU
Molecule: ribosomal RNA, 380 nt
Filed under: uncultured bacterium
Lineage: Bacteria
Description: bacterial SSU rRNA
Rfam family: Bacterial small subunit ribosomal RNA
Source: RNAcentral